AACCUCCACCCGUGAAUACCUGACCAACGUUGCUUCGGCGGUGCGCCCCCCCCCCGGGGGUAGCCGCCGGAGACCACACCGAACCUCCUGUCUUUAGUGUUGUCUGAGCUUGAUAGCAAACCUAUUAAAACUUUCAACAAUGGAUCUCUUGGUUCCGGCAUCGAUGAAGAACGCAGCGAACUGCGAUAAGUAAUGUGAAUUGCAAAAUUCAGUGAAUCAUCGAGUCUUUGAACGCACAUUGCGCCCCCUGGCAUUCCGGGGGGCAUGCCUGUCCGAGCGUCAUUGCUGCCCUUCAAGCCCGGCUUGUGUGUUGGGUCGUCGUCCCCCCCGGGGGACGGGCCCAAAAGGCAGCGGCGGCACCGCGUCCGGUCCUCGAGCGUAUGGGGCUUUGUCACCCGCUCGAUUAGGGCCGGCCGGGCGCCAGCCGGCGUCUCCAACCUUCUAUUUUACCAGGUUGACCUCGGAUCAGGUAGGGAUACCCGCUGAACUUAAGCAUAUCAAUAAGCGGAGGAA
This 513-nucleotide ribosomal RNA is filed under the name Aspergillus sp. f2 RA-2013. RNAcentral describes it as "eukaryotic LSU rRNA". The stretch from base 129 to 282 matches the Rfam family "5.8S ribosomal RNA". Lineage: Eukaryota; Fungi; Ascomycota; Eurotiomycetes; Eurotiales; Aspergillaceae. The record is from RNAcentral.